UACGUAGGUGACAAGCGUUGUCCGGAUUUACGGGGCGUAAAGAGCGCGCAGGCGGUCGUUCAAGUCGAGUGUGAAAGCCCCCGGCUCAACUGGGGAGGGUCACUCGAUACUGAUCGACUCGAAGGCAGGAGAGGGUAGUGGAAUUCCCGGUGUAGUGGUGAAAUGCGUAGAUAUCGGGAGGAACACCAGUGGCGAAGGCGACUACCUGGCCUGUUCUUGACGCUGAGGCGCGAAAGCUAGGGGAGCAAACGGG
Molecule: ribosomal RNA, 253 nt
Filed under: uncultured bacterium
Lineage: Bacteria
Description: partial 16S ribosomal RNA
Rfam family: Bacterial small subunit ribosomal RNA
Source: RNAcentral